AUAUGAAUAAAGGGGAGCUUCAAACUUAACAUAUUCAAAUAUUUUCUAUAUCUUUAUUUUGACGUGAGAUCAAUCAAGAUUGUAAAUCGAAUUCGAAUUAUACGCAUUAAUCAUUUUCGAAAGAAUCAUUGAAAGAAGACGUACAAAUUGACAUAGACAGUACCAAGUUUGGCACCGUAGCUUGUUAAAGUCACUCACUGACAUAUAGAAAUCAUUUUUAAUCCUACGUUAUUAAUUCAUGUAACUCUUAUUCAAUAAUUAUAAAUUAAGGAAUUAAUCGAUCGAGAGCUAACUCCUGAGCAAAGUACCAGAUAACUAAUGGAUGAUUUUAAAUCAAGAACAUCGAGGAAUAAAAAUAACCAUUCUUCGCGUGUCUGAUUAGAGCCGUAAAAAAUGUGCCUUGGCUCUUCGUAACUAGACGUAGGCGGGCUACAAGCAAGCAUGUUUCAACCUUCGAAGAAAUUCAGGCUUGGUUGGCCAAGUUUAGCCAUGAGCAACCCCCGAUGAAAGAGUUUCGAGAGCUCGCCGACGCAUUUUGCGGCGGCAUGUCGCUGACUUGGUCUGCUCUAAACUCGUUCGACGACAACGACGACGACAAGAAGGAGGGACGCGCGUAAUAAUACUCGUAAGUGAGUACGAACUCGUUGGACGAUGCGACGAAGUAUCCUUUUAAUUCGUUACGAAUCACCAGCCGAGUGCGUUUCCUUUUUAUUUUUUUUUUUUUACAUCUAACGUCGUGUUACUCUUAAUGCCCUUCUUUUCGAGUACGAUCCAAGUAUCGAGCUUUUAUUUUUAAAACGUCGCGCGCACAUCGCUUCGUAGCACAACACGAUUUCGACAUUGUUUCUCUCUUUUUAUUUUUAUUUUUAUUUUUAUCUUUAUUGUACUAAAUAUUCCUUUUCACAAAAAGUGUUCGAUUUUACGUACUUUCGAAUUACGAUUCGAAAAUUUUAUCGUUUGGUUUAAUCGUACAACCAAUUAGUAUUUGCUAAAAUUGAUAGGACAUUUUGAAUAAAAAAAAAAUCAGAUAUUUAAGCCAGUUGACAGAUCGUUCCUACAUCACGUGAAACUUAUGUAGGUAUAGGAACGAUCUUGUCCAACCGUUAGCAUUCCGCAUCCCGACGAAUCGGAGCGAGACACGCGCUGGUCCUCGCAAACUCGCACAGUAAGCGUAACUUACAUAUGUGUGGUGCCAACGAUGCUGCUGCAUGCUAUAUGUACACUUUCCUCUGUAUUAUCUCUCCGAUAAAAUAAUUACUCGAUCGUAAGAACAAUCGAUGACAUUCUUUGGGAUAUCAAAAUUCAAUCGUUAAGUGCGUUCAUAUCGCAAAAGAAAAGUUAUCAUUUCUUCACCCGUUCUACGUUCAAUAUGUAUUAAGAAGGAAAAAAAUUAUUCAGGAAAAACAAUCAUCGAACGAUAUUCCAAUAAAGUAACUCAGGCUGAUUAUAUCGUGCAGGUAAACAUAUGGUACAGCUUAACCGCGGUUUAAACUGCACUCGUACGAAACCUCGCUCGUGAGUUGUAGGUCAGAUCCAGUCGCGCGAGCGUGUAAUUCAGACAUUAUGCUGGACGGAAUCGCUGUACAAUGCCUUCGGUUUCGUGUUACGAGGUAAAAGAAGGAAAAAGAGAGAGAGAGAAAGAGAGAGAGAAAUCCACCUUACACUAUACCUGCUAGAUGUUUCGCAAUACAUACGACUGAAUCUAAGUGGCGGAGCGUCCUCGUUGAAAGCUCUCAACUGAGGAAAACUUCAGAAGGAUCAGCGAAAGCUCUCCUCUUAAAAUCAUCGGACAAGGCUUGAACGCUCAUAUUGUCCACCUGCUAGUAGACUAAUCGAGAGCGUGGAAUUCUAUUUUCGCGAUUCACGGACAACGACGAACAAUUACUGCUAUAACUCUGAAUGUAUUCAAUCAAUCUUCCUUCUCUUUAGAUAUUUACAAUAAUAUAUAUGUAAAUCUGCAUACGUAGAUAAUUAUAAUACGUAAUAUAAUAAAAAAUGUACUUUACCGUUCGA
Vespula pensylvanica (western yellowjacket) is the source of this 2013-nucleotide long non-coding RNA. RefSeq lists it as uncharacterized. The transcript is spliced from 5 exons. NCBI's taxonomy places the organism in Eukaryota, Metazoa, Arthropoda, Insecta, Hymenoptera, Vespidae. The record is from RefSeq and is a predicted model, not a curated record.